This 605-nucleotide ribosomal RNA is filed under the name uncultured soil bacterium. RNAcentral describes it as "bacterial SSU rRNA". It matches the Rfam family "Bacterial small subunit ribosomal RNA", at positions 799 to 1411 of the family's 1533-position model. The record is from RNAcentral.
GCCCUAAACGAUGUCUACUAGUUGUCGGGUCUUAAUUGACUUGGUAACGCAGCUAACGCGUGAAGUAGACCGCCUGGGGAGUACGGUCGCAAGAUUAAAACUCAAAGGAAUUGACGGGGACCCGCACAAGCGGUGGAUGAUGUGGAUUAAUUCGAUGCAACGCGAAAAACCUUACCUACCCUUGACAUGUACGGAAUCCUUGAGAGAUCAGGGAGUGCUUGAAAGAGAACCGUAACACAGGUGCUGCAUGGCUGUCGUCAGCUCGUGUCGUGAGAUGUUGGGUUAAGUCCCGCAACGAGCGCAACCCUUGUCAUUAGUUGCUACGAAAGGGCACUCUAAUGAGACUGCCGGUGACAAACCGGAGGAAGGUGGGGAUGACGUCAAGUCCUCAUGGCCCUUAUGGGUAGGGCUACACACGUCAUACAAUGGUACAUACAGAGGGCCGCCAACCCGCGAGGGGGAGCUAAUCCCAGAAAGUGUAUCGUAGUCCGGAUUGUAUCUGCAACUCGACUGCAUGAAGUUGGAAUCGCUAGUAAUCGCGGAUCAGCAUGUCGCGGUGAAUACGUCCCGGGUCUUGUACACACCGCCCGUCACACCAUGGGANC